AACAUAAAUUAGGUUCUUCAUUGAAGAUUAAUAGGGAAGAAGGUAAAAAGCCUUCGCAGCCCCCGCUACUGUGAUACUGACGAAACUAUUAGACACCACUGUGACGAUUUACGGGAAGGAAUAGAAGUAGGUUGAAGUUUAGCCAGGAGACCUGCCUAGUUUAU
Molecule: non-coding RNA, 164 nt
Filed under: Paraclostridium tenue
Lineage: Bacteria; Bacillati; Bacillota; Clostridia; Peptostreptococcales; Peptostreptococcaceae
Source: RNAcentral